RNAcentral lists this ribosomal RNA (56 nucleotides) under Glycaspis brimblecombei. RNAcentral describes it as "partial small subunit ribosomal RNA". The record is from RNAcentral. Lineage: Eukaryota; Metazoa; Arthropoda; Insecta; Hemiptera; Aphalaridae.
GUUUAAAACAAGAUAAGUCGUAACAUAGUAGCCGUACCGGAAGGUGUGUCUGGUAA